This is a non-coding RNA of Camellia sinensis, 1344 nucleotides long. Lineage: Eukaryota; Viridiplantae; Streptophyta; Magnoliopsida; Ericales; Theaceae. The record is from RefSeq and is a predicted model, not a curated record.
UGUAAGUCCAAAAAUAUGUUGGAUUAUAGUUACUAAUUAUUAAUACACACUUACAGAGGAAUUAGUCCCGUACAUGUGCCAAUAAUUGGAAAUCACUCUUAGAAAUUGAUGAGCUAUGUGAGGCUUCUUGCUUUGAUGAUCUUGUUGUGCUACAGCUUAAAUAAAUCAAAACUCUUGAAUGACAGAUUUGGAUGAAGCUCCUUUGGCAGUCUUACAAAUGAAAACUCAUUUUACAUUUCUUAUUUUUUCUUUGAAAGGGAACAACAUAUAAUAAUAUAAUUUGUUUCCCAAAUUUACUUCAUUUCAAUCUUCUCAGUUUAGCUGGCAUCGUUUUUGCUCAUUAAUGAUUCUCCAAUUACACGCUCUUUUGUCUCUCUUGUUUUGUUAUCUAUUUUUCAAGAUGAAUUUAUCUUAUAUCCUAUUUUCAUAUCUCUAUUUCCUUGUGCAUUUUGUCCAGGUGUUGAGUGUGGAUUUAGAUCUUUGGUUAUGGUCUAUUGGCAUCCAACGCCCGUCUCUCCAACAUCAUCGGACUCUUUCUAUAUACUAUUGAGGAGUUAUCUAAAGAUCGGGAAUUCAGUAGAGAAGUGAGCAGCAGUGGCAAUGUUUCUUUGUUGAAAUCAAAAUCAGGAUCUUCUGGAUUUUAGGAUGGCCAUCAAUCCUGGACCCCCCAUCAUGAGUAGAGAGGAAUUUGAAACUCGGAAAGCUGAUCUAUGGAGGAAGCGUGCAACAGAAUCUGUUACUGCAAAGGUACUAUCAAUAGGCAUCAUUCCUUAUUAUCUAUUAAUAAGGAAUCUUUAGUAAUUGCUGCAAUUUCUUCAUUACAUUACAUACAAGUUAGUAAGAUUUUAUAUUUUCAAUAGUACACUAUUUUUUUGUGAAACAUUUGGAGUAGAACUAGAAUAAGACACAUGCAACAUACUAGAAAAUUUGUAGUGGUGGUCGGACCCCAGUACUUCAGGGCUACUGGAAAUUCAAGUUGAGCUACGUGCACUUAAAACUCGGCCCCCAAAAUCAAGUUUGGGCCCAACUUUGACUCUGCUCAACUGGGCCUCGACGUUAGGGCGAAAAGUGUGAGCUGAAGAGGAAGGCUUUUAAUUGACAGUCCAAGUAUAAUUUGACUCUGUUGAGUUUUCAGAAAUUAUUUCUGAUUUUUUUUUCAAAAAAUUACAAAUUAAUUUGACAAAAAUGAAAACUAAAAAAAUUAGUUUUGAAUUUUCUAAAUUUAUUUCAUACCAAAAAGAGAAUAUAUAGUGUAAUUAAUCCUAAUUUUUAUUUAUUGAAUUGUAAUUAUAUGAGGUUGCAAUGGAAACUCAUCUAUCAUCUAUUUUUCUCUCCUCCUUCCUU